CCUGUUUCCUCCCUCUGAAGUGGCGACAGUAAUAGAACUGACCUCGUAGGCUCAUCGGGAGGCCCUGAAGGGAGAACCCAUGCAACUUGCCACCGCAGAGCCAGGCCCGCGGCGGUUGGCGCCUGGUUGAUAGACUGGAUGCUGCUAUGGUAAUCUGCCUCAGGAAAAUGCCGGACUGUUGUUUGCAAGCUUGUUAAGUGAGCAAAACUUGGGAAGAUUUCAAGGGAUCCAGACCUGGGUGUUCUACCUGUACCUUCAUACUGCUGCACUGGUGAGCAAGAUGAGGCUUAAAUAAAGCAUACAAUUCAAUUUGUGGUUACCUCUGAGAACCCCAAAUCUGCCAUGGAUCUCUGCACCACACAACACCUGUGACACCUGUGCCAAGUCAUGGAAUAAGGCCAUACCCUGUGGAUAGGGUAUAAAGGUUUCCCUCUAUAUGGUAGAUAUUAUCAGUCAUAGAAAAAGAGAAUCCUCACACAGAAAAAUUUGGAACAUGGAACAGAUGGAAGGUGGCACUUCUGGAUAUGCCUUUUUACAUCUGAACUUGGAAGAGUUAAGAAUUGUUGAAGGCCCUUCUCACUGAUCAGGGGAAAUAGCUUCUGUCACAGAGCUGCCUACUCCAGGAGAACCAAAAAUGAAAGCAAACACUCAUAUUUUGUAAGUCUGUUCCCUGAACUUCUGUCAAUCAAGUUUAAUCUAAAUCAAGGAUUCAAACUGAGAAGCAUUUAAGGACCAAGAAAAAGUUAAUUAGCCCAGUAUAAGUCAAUAAGAAAUGACUGGAAGGUAUCCAGAAAUAAAGGCAUUCAGAAAUGGAGGCACACAUAGAUGAAGGCAAAGGACAUUCCUAUGAAGGCAGGUCUGUAGGCAGCUGGUUAUUUGUUUUUCUCUUGGCCUCUCUUGGCAUUCUACCUUCAUCUGGAAAAAAAUUAAAAAGGAGGAUACUUUACAGGCCCUGCCUCAAGUAUCUGACUUCCCUGGAAAUUUGAUUCUCACAUUCAAAAUAUAUGGGGAGUUUGGUUCAGUUAAAUUUUAUCACACCAGAAUUGUUGAAAAGCAAUAAAUUAUUACUGUAUGAUUGGUGCCUGUUUGUUAUCUUAGGUAUCGUUAUUUCUGUUUUUAACUCGUUUGGAAAACCAUAGACUAUAAACUUUUCUCAACCUUCGAUGCAGAGCUCCAACCAAACUAGCAAAGGACAUUUCCUCAAAGAAAGAGUAUUUUUUUUUCUGUAACAAUUUAAAUUUCUGUCUUUCAUUCUUCAAAAUGUAUCACUAUAAAUUUCCUACAAAAAGAGCUGUUUCUUCUCUUGGUAUCAUACAGAUUGAUUUGUGUAGAUGUAUAUGUAUGGCUAUUAAAUAUUUGUUGGUAUAAAAUGGUGAGUGUCAGUAUAAUAAUGAUGAUAACAAAUAGCAGCUAACAUUUA
Long non-coding RNA from Cercocebus atys (sooty mangabey), 1420 nucleotides. RefSeq lists it as uncharacterized. The transcript is spliced from 5 exons. NCBI's taxonomy places the organism in Eukaryota, Metazoa, Chordata, Mammalia, Primates, Cercopithecidae. The record is from RefSeq and is a predicted model, not a curated record.